UGAGUAACCUGCCCUUCACUCUGGGAUAACUCCGGGAAACCGGGGCUAAUACUGGAUAUGACUCGAACAGGCAUCUGUUUCGGGUGGAAAGAUUUAUUGGUGGAGGAUGGACUCGCGGCCUAUCAGCUAGUUGGUGUGGGUAAUGGCCCACCAAGGCGACGACGGGUAGCCGGCCUGAGAGGGUGACCGGGCCACACUGGGACUGAGACACGGCCCAGACUCCUACGGGAGGCA
RNAcentral lists this ribosomal RNA (234 nucleotides) under uncultured bacterium. RNAcentral describes it as "partial 16S ribosomal RNA". It matches the Rfam family "Bacterial small subunit ribosomal RNA", at positions 118 to 350 of the family's 1533-position model. The record is from RNAcentral.